AACGAAAACAAAAUGAAUUCGAGUAGUUAACCCGUUAACCCGAUGAAAUUUGUGAUCGACUUAACACGAAACCUAUGCACGUCCACCACAUUACUUAUUUCAUUUAUUUUUAUCUGAAUCCAAUAAAAUUGUUCAAUAGUCGUAGCCGGCAAAUGAAACGAGAACAUUUCUAAAAAGUAAUGGCAUUCGAUCAAAAAAUUCGAAUUUUCACAACGAUCCCGCAUACAUUUUUAUUAUGAAUUCUUCCCAACUCCCCUUCCGAGAUAAAGGAAAAAGAAAUAAAAACUAAAUAAGAUCUGAUAAGGAAUAAGAAUUUUCGAUGGACGGGGUUGGGGGAAAGAGGAGAAAAAAAUAAAUUGAAAAAUCCAAAAAGUUAAAAGGAAAAUCAGAAUUCAAUGGUCGAACCUCAACGACGAUUGUAAAACUCGUCGUUAGCAUGAAAAUGGAGAGUACCAGAAAGUUUUUCUCUUAAGUCGAUUUUCCUCGGUGCGUGGAGUCUAAGCACGAUCGUUCUUUCCAAGUCACUUUUUCAUGGUGGAACAGAACGGCAAUGGUUAAAAGCUGGUUCGGGGGGAGAAGAAGAAGAAGAAGUAGAAAAAGAAGAAGAGG
RNAcentral lists this long non-coding RNA (609 nucleotides) under Polistes fuscatus (common paper wasp). RNAcentral's name for it is "uncharacterized LOC122514049". Lineage: Eukaryota; Metazoa; Arthropoda; Insecta; Hymenoptera; Vespidae. The record is from RNAcentral.